UACGUAGGGUGCGAGCGUUGUCCGGAAUUAUUGGGCGUAAAGAGCUUGUAGGCGGUUUGUCGCGUCUGCUGUGAAAAUCCGGGGCUCAACCCCGGACUUGCAGUGGGUACGGGCAGACUAGAGUGUGGUAGGGGAGACUGGAAUUCCUGGUGUAGCGGUGAAAUGCGCAGAUAUCAGGAGGAACACCGAUGGCGAAGGCAGGUCUCUGGGCCACUACUGACGCUGAGAAGCGAGAGCAUGGGGAGCGAACAGG
This 253-nucleotide ribosomal RNA is filed under the name uncultured bacterium. RNAcentral's name for it is "partial 16S ribosomal RNA". It matches the Rfam family "Bacterial small subunit ribosomal RNA", at positions 524 to 776 of the family's 1533-position model. The record is from RNAcentral.